RNAcentral lists this transfer RNA (71 nucleotides) under Danio rerio (zebrafish). It matches the Rfam family "tRNA". From Rfam's summary of the family: Transfer RNA (tRNA) molecules are approximately 80 nucleotides in length. Their secondary structure includes four short double-helical elements and three loops (D, anti-codon, and T loops). Lineage: Eukaryota; Metazoa; Chordata; Actinopteri; Cypriniformes; Danionidae. The record is from Rfam by way of RNAcentral.
GCAUUGGUGGUUCACUGGUAGAAUUCUCGCCUGACACGUGGGAGACCCUGGUCCAGUUCCUGGCCAAUGCA